UACGGAGGGGGCUAGCGUUGUUCGGAAUUACUGGGCGUAAAGGGCGCGUAGGCGGCCACCGCAAGUCGACUGUGAAAUCUCCGGGCUUAACCCGGAAAGGUCAGCCGAUACUGCGGGGCUAGAGUGCAGAAGGGGCAACUGGAAUUCUCGGUGUAGCGGUGAAAUGCGUAGAUAUCGAGAGGAACACCUGCGGCGAAGGCGGGUUGCUGGGCUGACACUGACGCUGAUGUGCGAAAGCUAGGGGAGCGAACGGG
Molecule: ribosomal RNA, 254 nt
Filed under: uncultured bacterium
Lineage: Bacteria
Description: partial 16S ribosomal RNA
Rfam family: Bacterial small subunit ribosomal RNA
Source: RNAcentral